UACGUAUGGAGCAAGCGUUAUCCGGAUUUACUGGGUGUAAAGGGAGCGUAGGCGGCAUACCAAGCCUGAUGUGAAAACCCGGGGCCCAACCCCGGGAGUGCAUUGGGAACUGGCAAGCUAGAGUGUCGGAGAGGCAGGCGGAAUUCCUAGUGUAGCGGUGAAAUGCGUAGAUAUUAGGAGGAACACCAGUGGCGAAGGCGGCCUGCUGGACGAUGACUGACGUUGAGGCUCGAAAGCGUGGGGAGCAAACAGG
RNAcentral lists this ribosomal RNA (253 nucleotides) under uncultured bacterium. Its description in RNAcentral is "partial 16S ribosomal RNA". It matches the Rfam family "Bacterial small subunit ribosomal RNA", at positions 524 to 776 of the family's 1533-position model. The record is from RNAcentral.